GGAUGUGAGGGUGAUCUGGCUGUGGCACCUGUCACCCCAUUGAUUGCCAGGGUUGAUUUGGCUGACCUGGCUGACUAGGCAUGUGUCCCCUUCCUCCCUCGCCGCUCCAUGUGCGUCCCUCCUGAAGCUGUGCGCUUGGUUUAAGAGGACAACUAUCGCAGAUAGAGGAGGACUGGUCUCCGGUCAAGGGUAUAAGAGUAGCUCCACUCCCCCGCUAGAACCU
This 223-nucleotide small RNA is filed under the name Gorilla gorilla gorilla (western lowland gorilla). RNAcentral describes it as "7SK RNA (ENSGGOG00000034664.2)". It matches the Rfam family "7SK RNA", at positions 1 to 223 of the family's 331-position model. From Rfam's summary of the family: 7SK was discovered as an abundant small nuclear RNA in the mid-70s but a possible function has only recently been suggested. Two independent studies have found that 7SK RNA binds the CDK9/cyclin T complex (known as elongation factor P-TEFb). Lineage: Eukaryota; Metazoa; Chordata; Mammalia; Primates; Hominidae. The record is from Rfam by way of RNAcentral.